CCUACGGGUGGCUGCAGUGGGGAAUAUUGGGCAAUGGGCGCAAGCCUGACCCAGCAACGCCGCGUGAAGGAAGAAGGCUUUCGGGUUGUAAACCUCUUUUCUCAGGGACGAAGCAAGUGAUGGUACCUGAGGAAUACGCCACUGCUAACUACCCGCCAGCAGCCGCGGUACUACGGAGGCGGCAGUCGUUAUCCGGAUUUACUGGGUGUAAAGGGCGUGUAGGCGGGGGCGCAAGUCAGGUGUGAAAACCACGGGCUCAACCUGGGGCCUGCAUUUGAAACUGUGUUUCUUGAGUACUGGAGAGGCAGACGGAAUUCCUAGUGUAGCGGUGAAAUGCGUAGAUAUUAGGAGGAACACCAGUGGCGAAGGCGGUCUGCUGGACAGCAACUGACGCUGAGGCGCGAAAGCGUGGGGAGCAAACAGGAUUAGAUACCCUGGUAGUC
Molecule: ribosomal RNA, 443 nt
Filed under: uncultured bacterium
Lineage: Bacteria
Description: partial 16S ribosomal RNA
Rfam family: Bacterial small subunit ribosomal RNA
Source: RNAcentral